This 543-nucleotide long non-coding RNA is filed under the name Ananas comosus (pineapple). Its description in RNAcentral is "long non-coding RNA (ACOM_LNC017629)". The record is from RNAcentral. Lineage: Eukaryota; Viridiplantae; Streptophyta; Magnoliopsida; Poales; Bromeliaceae.
AAUGCUUGAGUAUAUGUGAACUGUUUGAGUUUGUGAUUUCCUAUUAUGUAUGCAAACGAAAUUUGUUGAAUAAUUGGAGAUUUUUGGAUUUAUGGUUUUCUACCCCUCAAGAUAGUCGGUUUUCAAAAUGGAGUUUUCGAGUGAAAAACAGUUUUAAAAAGAUUUUCGAAUGAUUUUUAUCAAUGAUUGGAUAGAGUUUAAAAACAAAGCUUUCGGGUGGAGAGCACUUUUAAAUAGGAUGACUGUUAUACUGUGCAUCGCAUCAUCCAGCGCCUGAGGAGUGUUUAGAGACAUGUAUCAUAUCUGAGGGUCGCUAGCUGUAUGAAAAUGUAUGGCAUGAAUUGCUUGUCGAUUGGAAAAUGUACAUUGUUGUGGUGAUCCUGAUGUUGUUGUUGGUACGCCGUGCAAAUACAAAGGAGACUCUGUCCGAGUGGACAGAGGAAUUUUGGAUUUGUGGGGGGUUUGUACGUCACGUGGGCUAGGUUGAAUUCAAAAUAAAAGGCACGUUUUUUGUAACUCUGAUUUCGAAAAUGGUAUUCAUUA